UGGGGAAUAUUGCACAAUGGUCGCAAGCCUGAUGCAGCCAUGCCGCGUGUAUGAAGAAGGCCUUCGGGUUGUAAAGUACUUUCAGCGGGGAGGAAGGGAGUAAAGUUAAUACCUUUGCUCAUUGACGUUACCCGCAGAAGAAGCACCGGCUAACUCCGUACCAGCAGCCGCGGUAAUACGGAGGGUGCAAGCGUUAAUCGGAAUUACUGGGCGUAAAGCGCACGCAGGCGGUUUGUUAAGUCAGAUGUGAAAUCCCCGGGCUCAACCUGGGAACUGCAUCUGAUACUGGCAAGCUUGAGUCUCGUAGAGGGGGGUAGAAUUCCAGGUGUAGCGGUGAAAUGCGUAGAGAUCUGGAGGAAUACCGGUGGCGAAGGCGGCCCCCUGGACGAAGACUGACGCUCAGGUGCGAAAGCGUGGGGAGCAAACAGG
This 429-nucleotide ribosomal RNA is filed under the name Chloroflexota bacterium. Its description in RNAcentral is "Chloroflexi bacterium partial 16S ribosomal RNA". It matches the Rfam family "Bacterial small subunit ribosomal RNA", at positions 355 to 776 of the family's 1533-position model. Lineage: Bacteria; Bacillati; Chloroflexota. The record is from RNAcentral.